Malus domestica (apple) is the source of this 1742-nucleotide long non-coding RNA. RefSeq lists it as uncharacterized. Lineage: Eukaryota; Viridiplantae; Streptophyta; Magnoliopsida; Rosales; Rosaceae. The record is from RefSeq and is a predicted model, not a curated record.
GGGACGCGCAUUAUGAAGAACAUGUAAGUGCGUAGACCGGUAGCGAUAAAACACCAAAAGCAAAGGAAGGAUAGAGGACUGAGAAGAGGGAAAGGGAGAUUGGAGCUGCUGGAAGUUUUAGGAAUGGGCUGUUUGGGAAGAAGGAAAAUUACAAGAAUAAUUGUCUUGUGGGGUUUCUUCCCAAGCCCGCCCAUUCCUAUGAUUUCCAGCUGUUCCUCCCUUUCCCUUGUAUCUCUAUAUUCAGAUUAGUCCCCUUGUCAAGAUCAUUCUCAAGCUCAUAGUAAAGAACAGAAGAAAAAGCAUCAGCGGCUGGCUGUGGAUGAACAUAAUCAAUUAAAAUGAAGUGUUUUUUAUGUUCACCCACGAGCUUUAUUUUCCUAAGAACCUAAACAAAAAGGAAUAUAAUUAUAAUCUUUCUGAUAUGCUUGUUCAUGGUGGUGUUCAUCGUCUUGAAAAUAAACAAAAGCUAUUUUUUAUCAAUAAACGAAAAAGGGGGAUCAAGUGGGAAAACAAAGCUGUAAUGAAACAGACUGUUGGACUUUCAAUAUUGGUGGAACUACGUACUUCCAUUUGUAUCUCCAGAUUUGGACUUUUAGUGGCGACUUCAAUCAUUCCCAAAAUGAAAAUUGAGCAAAUCAUUUGAAGACCACCCACAAGUCCCAUAUUUAUUCCAACUUUUUAUAAGCUGCAAAUUUUGGUGUGAAGAGUAUAUUGGGUUAAAUUGUUAUAUUAAGGUUCUUUUGGGAAUACGGUGUGUGGGAAAAAGUGUUCAAUCUAAGAUGUAGACGUUGAGAAAAGUGAGACCUAGACUGUAAUAUUUAGUGCAUGGUUGAGAAAAGUGUUCUCUUACAUGCCAAAAGUUUCAUGACAAGAAGUUGUCAUGUAAAACAUGCUUGAGAGAGAGCAUUAUUUUAGCUUCAACAAAAAGUAUCUAUGUUGAUGAGUUAUUAUGCCAAAGACACGAUAUUAACUCUAGUAAAUAAAUCAUUGUCUUUGGCAACUUUAGGAAAAUAUUUUAUUUUAUCUGAAUUUUUUAUUAGUAUUUGGAAACCACCAAAAACUGAUAAAGCGGCUAAAUUACAAGAGAAGUAAGCCUAUACAGACCAUACAAGCGCACAAAGAGCCCAUACAAAGGGUUUGGUUAAGAUAUAUCAAAUCCCACCAAGUAUACAAAUGGAACCAAUUUUUUAAAAUGGGAGGAAUGUUAUAAAUCUGAAAAGUUAGAGAGAUAAUCUUUACUAGGGACAGUCGAGUAGUAAGUGCAAGAUAUCAUAUUGUUUAGUUUCGUAAUUAUAACACAAAAGAUUGCAAGAAAAGAGGAAGAGAGGGAUAAUGAUAUUAAUGCUUUCAUUUCUUUUCUUUGUUGUGUGUUGUAAUCACAUACGGAGUGCUCUUUAUAUAAAGCCACAUCCGUGACAAAACAAAAUGUGAAGUGAUUGCUCUAUUUGAAAACUUCACAUAAUAACAAACUACUGUGAUCUUUUUGAAAACAUUGCAUAAUAACAAAUACAUUUUUGUGAGAAUUGCCCACAGUAAUGUAUUUGUUAUUAUGCGAAGUUUUAAAAAAGGUUAUAGUAAUUUGUUAUUAUGUGAAGUUUUCAAAAAGAGAAAUCAUUUCACAUUUUGUUUUGUUACGGAUGUAGCUAUAUAUAAAGAGCACUCCGUGUGUGAUUACAACACACAACAAAGAAAAGAAGUGAAAGCAAUAAUAUCAAUAUCCCUCCCUUCAUCUUUUCCUGCAA